GUUGCAAUAGCGUGUGUUCUUACUCACAUAUAAACUGGUAUAUAUUCUGGGUCGACACUAGGCCUGGCCAUGAACAACUCCAUUAUUGUGUUGGGAUGGAACAUAACGGUAACCAUGGUAACGGAGACUUUCCUGCUUUCCAAGCAAUCAACGGCGCUUUGAGUUUAAACAACCCAGAGGAGGCCACAAACCGAGAGGAGGACGACCUGCUCUGUCAGUUUAUAGCUCUCCGACUGAUCCACAUAGCAGCACAGAUAGACAGAAACCUGGAGAGGAGAGCGAGAAGGGAGCGGGCAGAUACCAGGGGUAAUGUGCUGGGGAGCCUGGUCUCGGCACUGGGGUGGGUCCUGGAGGUGGUCUUCAGAUACUAGUGGUCUCUACUGCUGGAGGUAACAUUUCACUAAUCCUUGUUUUCAUGUGUGUCAGGUGUGUGCGGGUUGUAACUCAGAAUCAGAUGACUUUGGUUACUAUGGAUACUAACAUUUGUUUAGAUAACCCAAGGGGCUGAAAAACGUUAACAAACUUAGUAACUUCCACAAUGAUUCCUAAAAAGAAGACAUUAUUUGAACUUUCGUUUGAUUUUUAU
Molecule: long non-coding RNA, 586 nt
Organism: Bolinopsis microptera
Lineage: Eukaryota; Metazoa; Ctenophora; Tentaculata; Lobata; Bolinopsidae
Exons: 3
Source: RefSeq, a predicted model, not a curated record